GACGAACGCUGGCGGCGUGCUUAACACAUGCCAGUCGGACGCUGAAGCUUGGUGCUUGCACUGGGUGGAUGAGUGGCGAACGGGUGAGUAAUACGUGAGUAACCUGCCCUUGACUCUGGGAUAAGCCUGGGAAACUGGGUCUAAUACUGGAUACGACAUGUCACCGCAUGGUGGUGUGUGGAAAGGGUUUUACUGGUUUUGGAUGGGCUCACGGCCUAUCAGCUUGUUGGUGGGGUAAUGGCUCACCAAGGCGACGACGGGUAGCCGGCCUGAGAGGGUGACCGGCCACACUGGGACUGAGACACGGCCCAGACUCCUACGGGAGGCAGCAGUGGGGAAUAUUGCACAAUGGGCGGAAGCCUGAUGCAGCGACGCCGCGUGAGGGAUGACGGCCUUCGGGUUGUAAACCUCUUUCAGCACGGAAGAAGCGAAAGUGACGGUACGUGCAGAAGAAGCGCCGGCUAACUACGUG
This 472-nucleotide ribosomal RNA is filed under the name uncultured bacterium. RNAcentral's name for it is "partial 16S ribosomal RNA". It matches the Rfam family "Bacterial small subunit ribosomal RNA", at positions 28 to 507 of the family's 1533-position model. The record is from RNAcentral.